Sarcophilus harrisii (Tasmanian devil) is the source of this 2453-nucleotide long non-coding RNA. RefSeq lists it as uncharacterized. The transcript has 3 exons. NCBI's taxonomy places the organism in Eukaryota, Metazoa, Chordata, Mammalia, Dasyuromorphia, Dasyuridae. The record is from RefSeq and is a predicted model, not a curated record.
AUGGAAGAUAGAUGGAUAGAUGAAUUAUGGUUAGAUAAAUGAAUGGAUAGAUAGAUUCAUAGAUGGAUGGAUAGGUGGACAGACAGAUUGAGGAAUGGCUAUAUGAUGGGUAGACAGAAGUACCUUUGAAACUACCUCUUUCAUCAUAUCUUAUAGAAUAACCUCAGCGACUAAUUUCCUCAUCUCUGGAAGGAGGUGGACUAGUUGGCCUCUGAGGCCAUUUCCAGCUCUAAUUCUAUGGGUCUGAGGCAGGAUAUUCUUUUCUCAAAUAGUUUUAGUGAUAGGUUAAAAAGGAUGAAGGAGCUGGAAGACGAAGCAUAUUGUGUGAAUGAAGACUAGUUAAAGAAGGGGAAGGAAAUGAGCAUUUAUUAAGCACCUACUAUGUGCCAGAAACUGAGACAGAGAGCAGCAGUGAAGGGACUCGGGAAGAAUCUGAAGUUGGAUUUGAACUCAUCUCUUCCUGACCCCAGGCCUAGUGUUCUGCCCAUCAUAAUGUCUGUCAGGAGACAGGCGGUGGCCAUCAGACUAAACAACCUUCAAUCAAGUGUUUUAAAAUCCCGUUGUGAAUAAACAUGGAGGAAUAAUCCCAUUAGAUGAGGAUGCUGACCGGGGAGAUACAUUCUCAUUAUGGUUAGUUCACUUAUAUGUAUCAUGCACACACCAUUUUUGGAGCAAACCCAUGACCGUGAAGGGAACUCUCUGACGGAAGCGCCUUCUCCCAAGGCAGGUCUCUUCUCCAUAAGCACCUUCCAGCCCUCAGAGGUGUCAGAGACACGGACUGAUGCUGGCUUGGAGGACUUUCCCAGGGCCAGCCAGUAUGUCCUGCACAGGCUCGAGCCCUUUCCUCUUAAAUGAAAGGUCAUAAAACGCUGAGACUUGUGGGAGUCCUCCUGGAGAAGCUGGCCCUAAGCUAGAGUAGCCCUCUGAUGUUCCCACUGCCCUAGUGAGGGACUGAAGGGGGAGGCGCACAGUAGGGUCACACAAGUGACAGGGACAGCAUCUACACUGUGCCAUCCCUGCUCCCUUGGGUGGGAUCGACUCCAAGCUCCCCCAUUCAUGGUCCGGCCUCAGUGUGCCUCCCUGGAUCUUCUCGUGUACGCCACAGUCCAAUCAAACCCGCCUCCGCGUGUCUCCACGCCUAGCAUCCAUUUCCUAUCUCCGGCUCUUUGCACAGGCUGUCCCUCAUGCCUGGUCCCCCUUCCCUCUUCCCCACCACCUAUUUGAAAUCAGCUUUCCUGAAGCUUCUGAGAGCUUCCCCCACACUAGGAGAACGGAAGCUCCCCGAGGGCAGAGGCCUCUUGUGUUUGUCUUUCCCUGGCGCCCCAGCAGAGCCUGACACUUAACAGGGACCAUCAGUUCUAUGACAUGAGAGAUACAAAACUGUUCGAUAGAAACUCUAGGGACUAUGGGGAAAAUGGAGGUGGGGCAUAAAUUUAGAAAUGGCAGGGACACAAAGGAAAAGACAGGAGCGAAAUAACGGGAACAGUAGCCGUUCCGUACAUUUAGGUGGCGCCAGGAGUUAAAGAAGGCUGGGUUUGAAAUCAGGAAGACCCGAGUUCAAAUGCAGCCUCAGACAUUCACUGGCCGGAGAUCCUGCACUACUCAUUUCACAUCCGUUUGUCUCAAUCUCCUCAACUGUAAAAUGGGUGUUAUGAUAACAUUUAUCUCCCAGAAUGGUUGGAAGGAUCAGAUAAGUAAAUUUCUUACAAUACCUGCUACGAAAUAAACACUAUAUAAAUGUUAGCUAUUAUUGUUAUUCAAGCUUCUUAUUGUUAUUAUAUGCUUUAAAAUACUGUGGCAGCCUCCAGAGUCUCCAGCUGUUGCUUGGUGGUUGCCAUGGGACUGGGCGAGCAAAGUCAGUGGCCGUGGAUAAGUCUGACGACCUCCCAGCUGUAUAGACCAAAGGGGAGCCUUGGCAGCGCGAGGCCCAUGGCAGCAGGCAGAGGGACGUGCAGGAGGAUGGUGCACUAGGCCUCUGGCCACCUAUCGCACCAGAAGAUACACAAGAAAUCUGGUUCUUGACCUGGAUAAAGAACAGACAUUUGCUGGUGGGAGUGAGUGUCAGAAGGGUGGAGGCUUGUGGGCCAUUGCAAGGCAGUCUCCUGCGGGCUCUUUCUCUCACAUGAAACUGCACAUCAGCUAAUGUGGAAGUUCCCGUUAUGCUCAGGCUGCUCCCGAAUACAUCAAGUGUUGGAACAAAUUUGCAUUUUCAAUAUAAGCAUUAGAAGUGACUGUAUUCACUAAGUGAGUGUUGCAUUCAUGACUCUUCUGCACCUUUUUGUCCACAAAUUAUCCCGAGGAUGCUCCAGGUGCUGAAGACCAUUGUCAGCCCCUGGGCAGUAGCUUGGGCUUCGGGGCUCUGGCCCAGGACGCUCCCUGUGUCCCAAAUCUUAGCCAGCCCGACGCUUACCUGAGCACCAAGCGCCUGCUGAUGGGCUGUGAGAUCAGGGAAG